GACUUUGUCAUGACAAUCGGGAAGGCUCGCUCAGGAGCUUCAUGCACAGGACACUGGGUGGGGACAAGGGUAGAAGCUGAAAACCAGUCAGGAGGCCGUUCUAAUAACCCAGGUUCUCGAGGCUGCUGCAGUCCUUGGCUCAUGGCCCCACAUCACUCCGACCUCUGCUUCCAUUGUCACAACUCCCCUUCUGUCUCUCUCUUAUAAGGACACUUGUGAUCACGUCGGGCACCAGGAUGACUAGGCUCCCCUCCGCAUCUUCAGAUCCUCAAUUUAAUCACAUCUGCAAAGUCCUUUUUGCCUCAGGAUUGUUAUGGCUGCUCCUGGUGUCAGAAGUGAAGGUAACGUGAGAAUGAGA
RNAcentral lists this long non-coding RNA (358 nucleotides) under Equus caballus (horse). RNAcentral describes it as "lncRNA (ENSECAG00000054036.1)". The record is from RNAcentral. Lineage: Eukaryota; Metazoa; Chordata; Mammalia; Perissodactyla; Equidae.